UAUAUAUUAGUAUAAUGAAGUACGUAAAGUUUUGAUCUUUGAAGGGAUAAGUUUGAUUCUAUCAUAUAUAA
Molecule: transfer RNA, 71 nt
Filed under: Mattiphus splendidus
Lineage: Eukaryota; Metazoa; Arthropoda; Insecta; Hemiptera; Tessaratomidae
Description: tRNA-Gln
Rfam family: tRNA
About the family: Transfer RNA (tRNA) molecules are approximately 80 nucleotides in length. Their secondary structure includes four short double-helical elements and three loops (D, anti-codon, and T loops).
Source: RNAcentral